AGUGGAAGCGUCUGGAAAGGCGCGCGAUACAGGGUGACAGCCCCGUACACAAAAGCGCAUGUGCUGUGAGCUCGAUGAGUAGGGCGGGACACGUGGUAUCCUGUCUGAAUAUGGGGGGACCAUCCUCCAAGGCUAAAUACUCCUGACUGACCGAUAGUGAACCAGUACCGUGAGGGAAAGGCGAAAAGAACCCCGGCGAGGGGAGUGAAAAAGAACCUGAAACCGUGUACGUACAAGCAGUGGGAGCCCCACCACCAAAGCAUUCUCUGGUGUUGAAGGCCCUGCAAAGCAGCAUCGCGGUGGCGGAGCGUCGUUUGCGACGCCCAACACACAAAACAAGCGGUGAAUGCUUUGGGGUGGGGUGACUGCGUACCUUUUGUAUAAUGGGUCAGCGACUUAUAUUCUGUAGCAAGGUUAACCGAAUAGGGGAGCCGGAGGGAAA
This 442-nucleotide ribosomal RNA is filed under the name Salmonella enterica subsp. enterica serovar Typhimurium var. 5-. Its description in RNAcentral is "bacterial LSU rRNA". It matches the Rfam family "Bacterial large subunit ribosomal RNA", at positions 331 to 676 of the family's 2925-position model. Lineage: Bacteria; Pseudomonadati; Pseudomonadota; Gammaproteobacteria; Enterobacterales; Enterobacteriaceae. The record is from RNAcentral.